Long non-coding RNA from Bos taurus (domestic cattle), 1715 nucleotides. The record is from Ensembl. Lineage: Eukaryota; Metazoa; Chordata; Mammalia; Artiodactyla; Bovidae.
CCUGGCCAUGCCAACCCCCAGGUCAGAACCUGGACUUGUGUGGUUGCUCAGGUAAUAGGCUUAAACAAACUGGGGACUAACAGAGGGAGGAAGGAGGGCAGGAUAGAGGGGAAAAGGCAAGAAAAUUUGCUCAGGGCAAGGGUUAAUUAAAAGACACUUACUCCUUGGGAGAAAAGUCAUGACCAACCUAGACAGUAUAUUAAAAAGCAGAGACAUUACUUUGCCAACAAAGUCCGUCUAGUCAAGGCUAUGGUUUUUCCAGUAGUCAUGUAUGGAUGUGAGAGUUGGACUAUAAAGAGAGCUGAGCACCAAAGAAUUGAUGCUUUUGAAAUGUGGUGUUGGAGAAGACUCUUGAGAGUGCCUUGGACUGCAAGGAGAUCCAACCAGUCCAUUCUAAAGGAGAUCAGUCCUGAAUAUUCAUUGGAAGAACUGAUGCUGAAGCUGAAACUCCAAUACUUUGGCCACCUGAUGUGAAAAGCUGACUCAUUUGAAGAGACCUUGAUGCUGGGAAAGAUUGAAGGUGGGAGGAGAAGAGGACGACAGGAUGAGAUGGCUGGAUGGCGUCACUGACUCAAUGGACAUGAGUUUGAGUAAAUUCCGGACGUUGGUGAUGGACAGGGAAGACUGGCGUGCUGCAGUCCAUGGGGUCGCAGAGAGUCAGAUAUGACUGAGCAACUGAACUGAACUGAACUGAAGGAGACUGAUGGUCCAGUGGCUGGAGAGGAUGGGCAGAAACUGGCGGACAGAGAGGAGCCCCAGCUCAGUCAGCAUAUGAAGUCUCUGGGCUGGGGAGUCUACACGUACUGGCAGUCCCAUGCUAGGAGUUGUCUCGCUGAUCAUCGCAAUUAUAUCCUGACACCAAGCAUAGAAAGUAUUAUUAGCUCCAUUUACUGACACAGAAACUGAGGCUGGAAGGGAGGUCAUUUGCUCAAAAGCUCCCUCCCUUCUCUCUCUCUCUCUCUCUCUCUCUCACAGAGCCAGAGACUUCUGGCAGAGUCUUCCCUAUGUAAUCUGUCUACUACUCCUCCACUCAGCCUCCUAACUUUGCAUCAGAAGGGUUUUCUAGAGCUCUCCAUGGGGCCCCCAUCUCUGACUCUGUCACUUCUCGCUUCUCGGGGGCAAGCAUCGCGACUGCCUCUGGUGGCCACACGUGCUCUGCGCCAGGGUCCUAUCCACCGAGUCCCCGUCAACUCGGUGCCCUUGCCGGAGCUGCCCUGGCCCUGGCUGUCACCUGCACCCCUCCGACACCAAGCUGCGGGCUGUGCUCGGUAGGAACCCAGCCCAGUGCCGGCAGGAGCAACCUCCAAGGGAGGCCUCCAGGGAGAAACGUCCAAAGGCAGCAUUCUGGUCCAAGUGAAAAGUCUGGUUCCCGGACCAGCAGUCUCAACAUCACCUGGGAGCUUGUUAGAAAUGCAGUGUCUCUGAGACUUCCCUGGUGGUCCAGUGGGUAAGAAUUCGCCUUGCAAUGGAGGGGACACAGGUUCAAUCUCUGGUCAGGGAACUUAGAUCCCACAGGCCUCGGAGCUACUGAGCCCCACGACUGCACCUAACACCUGAGUCAGCCAGAUUCUCAGCCCCUCCAUGCUACCUUCCUCCACCUCCUCCAAGAUCUUAUGAAUGAGAACUUCUGAGAGUAAAGCCCUGAUUGUUGUUAGUCUCUCAGUCAUGACUGACUCUGCAACCCCAUGGACUGCAGCACGCCAGGCUUCCCUGUC